GACGAACGCUUGCGGCGUGCUUAACACAUGCAAGUCGAACGGAAAGGCCCUGCUUUUGUGGGGUGCUCGAGUGGCGAACGGGUGAGUAACACGUGAGUAACCUGCCCUUGACUUUGGGAUAACUUCAGGAAACUGGGGCUAAUACCGGAUAGGAGCUCCUACUGCAUGGUGGGGGUUGGAAAGUUUCGGCGGUUGGGGAUGGACUCGCGGCUUAUCAGCUUGUUGGUGGGGUAGUGGCUUACCAAGGCUUUGACGGGUAGCCGGCCUGAGAGGGUGACCGGCCACAUUGGGACUGAGAUACGGCCCAGACUCCUACGGGAGGCAGCAGUGGGGAAUAUUGCACAAUGGGCGGAAGCCUGAUGCAGCAACGCCGCGUGCGGGAUGACGGCCUUCGGGUUGUAAACCGCUUUCGCCUGUGACGAAGCGUGAGUGACGGUAAUGGGUAAAGAAGCACCGGCUAACUACGUGCCAGCAGCCGCGGUGAUACGUAGGGUGCGAGCGUUGUCCGGAUUUAUUGGGCGUAAAGGGCUCGUAGGUGGUUGAUCGCGUCGGAAGUGUAAUCUUGGGGCUUAACCCUGAGCGUGCUUUCGAUACGGGUUGACUUGAGGAAGGUAGGGGAGAAUGGAAUUCCUGGUGGAGCGGUGGAAUGCGCAGAUAUCAGGAGGAACACCAGUGGCGAAGGCGGUUCUCUGGGCCUUUCCUGACGCUGAGGAGCGAAAGCGUGGGGAGCGAACAGGCUUAGAUACCCUGGUAGUCCACGCUGUAAACGGUGGGUACUAGGUGUGGGGUCCAUUCCACGGGUUCCGUGCCGUAGCUAACGCUUUAAGUACCCCGCCUGGGGAGUACGGCCGCAAGGCUAAAACUCAAAGGAAUUGACGGGGCCCCGCACAAGCGGCGGAGCAUGCGGAUUAAUUCGAUGCAACGCGUAGAACCUUACCUGGGUUUGACAUGGAUCGGGAGCGCUCAGAGAUGGGUGUGCCUCUUUUGGGGUCGGUUCACAGGUGGUGCAUGGCUGUCGUCAGCUCGUGUCGUGAGAUGUUGGGUUAAGUCCCGCAACGAGCGCAACCCUUGUUCACUGUUGCCAGCACGUUAUGGUGGGGACUCAGUGGAGACCGCCGGGGUCAACUCGGAGGAAGGUGGGGAUGACGUCAAGUCAUCAUGCCCCUUAUGUCCAGGGCUUCACGCAUGCUACAAUGGCUGGUACAGAGAGUGGCGAGCCUGUGAGGGUGAGCGAAUCUCGGAAAGCCGGUCUCAGUUCGGAUUGGGGUCUGCAACUCGACCUCAUGAAGUCGGAGUCGCUAGUAAUCGCAGAUCAGCAACGCUGCGGUGAAUACGUUCCCGGG
RNAcentral lists this ribosomal RNA (1343 nucleotides) under uncultured bacterium. Its description in RNAcentral is "16S ribosomal RNA". It matches the Rfam family "Bacterial small subunit ribosomal RNA", at positions 28 to 1378 of the family's 1533-position model. The record is from RNAcentral.